Molecule: ribosomal RNA, 468 nt
Filed under: uncultured bacterium
Lineage: Bacteria
Description: partial 16S ribosomal RNA
Rfam family: Bacterial small subunit ribosomal RNA
Source: RNAcentral
GACGAACGCUGGCGGCGUGCUUAACACAUGCAAGUCGAACGGAAAGGCCCUGCUUUUGUUGGGUUCUCGAUUGGCGAACGGGUGAGUAACACGUGAGUAACCUGCCCUUGACUUUGGGAUAACUUCAGGUAACUUGGGCUAAUACCGGAUAGGAGCUCCUGCUGCAUGUUGGGGGUUGGAAAGGUUCGGCGGUUGGGGAUGUACUCGCGGCUUAUCAGCUUGUUGGUGGGGUAGUGGCUUACCAAGGCUUUGACGGGUAGCCGGCAUGAGAGGGUGACCGGCCACAUUGGGACUGAGAUAAGGCCGAGACUACUACGGGAGGCAGCAGUGGGGAAUAUUGCACAAUGGGCGGAAGACUGAUGCAGCAACGCCGCGUGCGGGAUGACGGCCUUAGGGUUGCAAACCGAUUUCGGCUGUGACGAAGCGUGAGUGACGGUAAUGGGUAAAGAAGCACCGGCUCACUACGUG